UCCAAACCCAUAGUCUCCACUCAUCCACUCACUCUGCUCUUCGCAGAGGCAUCUUCUCCUACCCAUGCUCUCCACUCACCCUUAUAAACGAUCUCCUUCGUAAAGCCCUGCAUCUCUCGCUCUCCCGAUCGCUUUGCAUCUCUCGCUCUCGCUCUCGCCCUGCAUCUCUCGCAAGAGUUGUGUGUACAUUUGGAUGCGUCUCACCCACCAUCAAGAUGUGUGCAAUGGAUGGGUUUAAUUACUGCAGAACAUCUUGAAAUGGAUUCUCCUGUAACAAGUACUCAUUUCAAAUUUGGUAUGAACUUCAAUACCAAUGUACAACUAUUUGUAGCACUUGUAAGGUUGGAAAGCCUAUUUUUGAAGUUGAAACCUAAUUUGUUUGUCAUCCGAAGUCAAAGUGGAUCUCUUUUUACACUGGCACACAGAGAGUAUUAUUAGGUGAUUCUCUACUGGAUAUGAUUUUACAUACUGGAAUACAAUGAUGCAGGGCACUUACGAGUUCUUCAGCCAUUGAUUCCACUUGUUCGACACAGGGCUGUGUUGGCGUUGUCUGGAUAUUACAGAUCACGAACUGCUGUUGCUCCUUUUGAACGAUUGAGAAUUCUUCUCCAGGAGUAGGAACCCUUUUGUGCUUGAACUGGAUCUCGAACCAUUUAAUGCUACAUUUCCUCGARUGUCACGCUCUUCAUCCAUUGGCAAUGGAGUUCAGUUCCUCAACCGCCACCUCUCUUCAAUCAUGUUCCGAAACAAAGAUUGUAUGCAGCCGCUUCUGGAUUUCUUUCGUGCCUACAAACAUAAAGGAUAUGUGACAUCAUGUUGCGUUUGUUGUCGCAUUCAGCAACCUUGGCUACCUGGCAAUUUGUUUGUCUCAUCUUCUUUUUGGCUUCAAAGCUGUUAAAAACAAUUCCUCAGGUUUUAAGCAAGUGUGAUUAUGAUGGCGUUGUUGCUCAUAUAUUCUGUUURAGGAGUCUGCCGACUUUGUAUAAAAAGGAUAACUGCAGGUUUAAUAUAUUCUUCUGCUUUAUGAUGCGUAAAUAGGAAAAYGUUGAACUUGAAAUUAUAUGUAGGUUUUAAAUAUUCAUUUUGCUAAUGAAAUGUUCUGAUGGCUUAUUGAUUUGUU
This is a long non-coding RNA of Cynara cardunculus var. scolymus (artichoke), 1120 nucleotides long. RefSeq lists it as uncharacterized. The transcript is spliced from 7 exons. The record is from RefSeq and is a predicted model, not a curated record. Lineage: Eukaryota; Viridiplantae; Streptophyta; Magnoliopsida; Asterales; Asteraceae.